This 276-nucleotide unclassified non-coding RNA is filed under the name fungal sp. RNAcentral describes it as "partial internal transcribed spacer region". The stretch from base 1 to 46 matches the Rfam family "Eukaryotic small subunit ribosomal RNA", at positions 1786 to 1831 of the family's 1831-position model. Lineage: Eukaryota; Fungi. The record is from RNAcentral.
AAGUCGUAACAAGGUUUCCGUAGGUGAACCUGCGGAAGGAUCAUUAUUGAAUCUUCUUUUUUACAUUGUGAACUUUUUUGUUUCUUUUUCAUUUGGAAUUUUGGGUUUUAAUGCUAAUCUUGCAUAGCCUUGCUUUAUUGUGAGGCUGUAAAAGGUUGCAGUGAAACACAAAAUACAGAUAAAAAAGGGACAAAACAUUUUAAACAUAUAACAAAUGCAGUCUAAUCAAAAAACAACAAUCAAAAACAACUUUUAACAAGGGAUCUCUUGGCUCUC